UGUGGAUACUGUCAUUCAGAAUCACAGAUUAUUCUUUUUGGAAGUAUGACCAACUUAAUAAUUUUCACCGGAAAAUGUCAUCUGAACAAGUAGGCAAGCAGAUAGUUUUGAACACUGGCUGGUUAUGUAUUUUCUCAAAUAUGUAUUUUGGAUAAUUUUUAACCCCAAAAAAGCUACGGACUGCAGUUUUAAUUAACCACUUGUAAACUUAUGUUCACUGUUCUUUUUUUAUAAAUAUAGUAUUUGUAUUAAAUCUAUAUUCAUUGAGUCGAAUCGAGAA
Long non-coding RNA from Rhinichthys klamathensis goyatoka, 280 nucleotides. RefSeq lists it as uncharacterized. The record is from RefSeq and is a predicted model, not a curated record. Lineage: Eukaryota; Metazoa; Chordata; Actinopteri; Cypriniformes; Leuciscidae. The transcript has 2 exons.